GACGAACCGUGCGAACGUUGUUCGGAAUCACUGGGCUUAAAGGGCGCGUAGGCGGGCGGCAAAGUCCGGGGUGAAAGCCCCCAGCUUAACUGGGGAACUGCCUUGGAUACUGGUCGCCUCGAGGGGGGUAGGGGCGUGCGGAACGCUUGGUGGAGCGGUGAAAUGCGUUGAUAUCAAACGGAACUCCGGUGGCGAAGGCGGCGCGCUGGACCUCUUCUGACGCUGAGGCGCGAAAGCCAGGGUAGCGAACGGG
RNAcentral lists this ribosomal RNA (253 nucleotides) under uncultured bacterium. RNAcentral's name for it is "partial 16S ribosomal RNA". It matches the Rfam family "Bacterial small subunit ribosomal RNA", at positions 524 to 776 of the family's 1533-position model. The record is from RNAcentral.